Molecule: ribosomal RNA, 658 nt
Filed under: bacterium sp. R2A-21
Lineage: Bacteria
Description: bacterial SSU rRNA
Rfam family: Bacterial small subunit ribosomal RNA
Source: RNAcentral
GACCUGGUAGUCCACGCUGUAAACGAUGUCGACUUGGAGGUUGUUCCCUUGAGGAGUGGCUUCCGGAGCUAACGCGUUAAGUCGACCGCCUGGGGAGUACGGCCGCAAGGUUAAAACUCAAAUGAAUUGACGGGGGCCCGCACAAGCGGUGGAGCAUGUGGUUUAAUUCGAUGCAACGCGAAGAACCUUACCUACUCUUGACAUCCAGAGAACUUAGCAGAGAUGCUUUGGUGCCUUCGGGAACUCUGAGACAGGUGCUGCAUGGCUGUCGUCAGCUCGUGUUGUGAAAUGUUGGGUUAAGUCCCGCAACGAGCGCAACCCUUAUCCUUUGUUGCCAGCGGUUCGGCCGGGAACUCAAAGGAGACUGCCAGUGAUAAACUGGAGGAAGGUGGGGAUGACGUCAAGUCAUCAUGGCCCUUACGAGUAGGGCUACACACGUGCUACAAUGGCAUAUACAAAGAGAAGCGACCUCGCGAGAGCAAGCGGACCUCAUAAAGUAUGUCGUAGUCCGGAUCGGAGUCUGCAACUCGACUCCGUGAAGUCGGAAUCGCUAGUAAUCGUGGAUCAGAAUGCCACGGUGAAUACGUUCCCGGGCCUUGUACACACCGCCCGUCACACCAUGGGAGUGGGUUGCAAAAGAAGUAGGUAGCUUAACCUU